GAUGAAGAACGUAGUGAAAUGCGAUACUUGGUGUGAAUUGCAGAAUCCCGUGAACCAUCGAGUCUUUGAACGCAAGUUGCGCCCGAAGCCACUAGGCCGAGGGCACGCCUGCCUGGGCGUCACACGCCGUUGCCCCCCCAUCUACUCCUUCGGGAUUGCGGGGGGGCGGAUGAUGGCCUCCCGUGCGCCUAGCCGCGCGGUUGGCAUAAAUACCAAGUCCUCGGCGACGCACGCCACGACAAACGGUGGUUGCGAAACCUCGGUUGCCCGUCGUGUGCGUUCGUCGCGCAUCGAGGGCUCGAAAAAAUGCUCGGCUCCGGCUGGGCUUUCAACGCGACCCCAGGUCAGGCGGGGUUACCCGCUGAAUUUAAGCAUAUCAAUAAGCGGAGGA
Molecule: unclassified non-coding RNA, 391 nt
Filed under: soil metagenome
Description: partial contains 5.8S ribosomal RNA, internal transcribed spacer 2, and large subunit ribosomal RNA
Rfam family: 5.8S ribosomal RNA (bases 1-122)
Source: RNAcentral